RNA transcript from Solenopsis invicta (red fire ant), 2234 nucleotides. It is a transcript of the gene named E3 ubiquitin-protein ligase cblA-like, with no coding region annotated. Lineage: Eukaryota; Metazoa; Arthropoda; Insecta; Hymenoptera; Formicidae. The record is from RefSeq and is a predicted model, not a curated record. The transcript is spliced from 9 exons.
UUAUCUUAGUAGUAUUAAUAAAUGGGAGAGAUCUACACACACACACGCACACACACACACACACAUAUAUAUUAACACGUUAAGCGCCACGUCAGUCAUCGAUGACUGACACUGAACUUUCCGUUUAGGCCGCGUCAGUCACCGGUGACUGACACCACCACGCUAAGCGUGCCUGACGGGGCGUGCGUGGCCUGACCGGGAUUUCCUUAAGAAUUCGCGUGGCGCUUAACGUGUUAAUAAUAUAUAAUUUGUGAAAAACUUUGCAAUAUAGUUUUACUGCUAAAAUAAUAUAAAAAUUACAUGAUACUAUUUAUGAUGUUUCCAACAUUAACAUUGGAUAUGUUAUGAUAGAGAUAUAUAACUUACAAUGCAAUAAUUUUAAUAAUAAGUAGCAUUGUCAAUUACUUCCUUUCUUUCUUUAAUUACUAUUAUUUACCUUCUUUUUAUUAUAUUUAGUUGCACACUAUUAGUAUCUAUAUCUUAAUCCUUGAAAAGGAUAUUAAAUUCUUCGAAGUCUAACAAAACAAGUUUUAUCAUUUUGAAAAAUAUAGAAUUUGGUCGGUAAUCCGGCAUCUCUUUAAAUGUGCGCAAUUUUUCAUAAUAUUUUUUAAUACACGGAACAUCAAAAAGUCACUUUGUACAUAGUCAAAACUGUGCACUUGUGGCUCCUGCAAACAGAACACGGCAACGCUUGAUAAAGCGACGUGUACAACAUGGAGACAAUUGGCGGUAGACAAAAGGGAACUUUUAUUUAUGUAUGUGAUGGAUAUACAUAUAACAUUGAUAAGCGGAUAAAUAACACAUAUCGAUGUUCAAGUCGUCGUUCAACAGGAUGUCCUGGUGUUGCAAAAAUAAUUAAUGAGCAAGUUCAUGUGCAAACUCUACAUCAACAUCCACCAGAUACCAAAAAGUUGGAAAAAUCUAAAAUGCAAAAUGAAAUGUUACGUUUAUCACGAGAAUCGCUUCUACCACUAAAGGAAAUUUUUGAUAACGUUUGUCGAACAAAUUUAGAAGUAGCUGCACAUAUAUCGUACAAUUCCAUGAAAAGUGUAAUGGCUCGAGAACGAGCUAAACAACGACCUCCUAUACCACAUACCUUUCAAGCCUUAUCUACUGAUUUAAAUAUAUGAUAAAUAUGAUUGGAUUAAAGAUUUUUAUAAAGGAAGUGUAACUGCACAGGAUGGUAGCAUGGCUGCUAUAUUUUCGAGUGAUAUACUUAUUGAUGCCUUAAAGGCAACUACAGAAAUGUUUGUCGAUGGGACAUUUUCUAUUGUUCCCCGCAUUCCACGUAUGAUUCAAUUAUAUACUGUUCACAUACGUUAUAAAAAUACAGGUAUUGCAGUUGUCUUCGUAUUAUGCGAGACACGAACAUUUGCCCUUUAUCAGGCAAUAUGGGAAAAAAUAAUUGAAAUCGCUCCAGAUUUGAAAAAAAAUGUCAAAUUUAUAAUGGGAGAUUAUGAACGCGCAACAAAUAAUGCCCUUCAUAAAUGUUUCCCCGAAGCUAGUUUGAAAGGAUGCUGGUUUCAUUACAACCAAGCUGUGUUGCGCAAAUGGCGGCAACUUGAUUUAACAAAUGCUCCAAGAAAAUUAAUAAUGAUGGUUAUGUCUGUACCGUUAAUAUCAGCCACUUUAUUUGAGCAAUGUUUUACUAUAUUACAAGACGUAGCUGAUACUAUGUCUAGUGACUAUCCUACAGUAUUACAAUUUAUGUGCUAUUUACGUAAGACAUGGUUGCCCGCAGCAAACAAAGUAUCUGUGUAUGGAUGUCCUGUUCGCACAAAUAAUAUAGUCGAAAGUUUUCACAACACGAUUUCAAAGAAAUUCGGGAGUAGACAUCCAAAUGUGUGGAUAUUUAUUGAAAAUUUGAAAAAAGUAAUUAUAGAUCAAGAAAUUGAUUUUCGUCGUUUACAGAAUAAUCUUCAGGCACGUAGACCUCAAACUCGAGCCAAUAAAAAAAAAAUAAUAUAAUACUACAGAAACAAAAAGAUCUUAUGGAACAUAGAGAUAACUCAUGAGAACAAUCAUGAAGUUUGUACCGAUUUUCUAUCAGAAAGUUUUAAUUCUACGUCGGAGGAAACUCUGAGAACUGCUAAUAGUAACAUAAAUACAAAUACAAUAAGAAAUCCACUUACAUUAACGCAGAGACAAGAUUCUGUGCAAGAAGAACUCUCUAUUUCUGAAAAUGCAAUUGGUACAGAUACUCUAAUCGACGUCAACACUGUAGAAUUCACAAU